Small nuclear RNA from Ochotona curzoniae (black-lipped pika), 107 nucleotides. The record is from RefSeq and is a predicted model, not a curated record. Lineage: Eukaryota; Metazoa; Chordata; Mammalia; Lagomorpha; Ochotonidae.
UGUUCGCUUAGGCAGCACAAUAUGGUAAAAUGAGAACCAUACAGAGAGGUUUGGCAUGGUGCCUGUGCAAAGGCCACACACAAAUUGGUGAAGCAGUCCAUGUUUUU